CCUACGGGAGGCUGCAGUGAGGAAUAUUGGUCAAUGGCCGAGAGGCUGAACCAGCCAAGUCGCGUGAGGGAAGACGGCCCUACGGGUUGUAAACCUCUUUUGUCGGGGAGCCAAGCGAGUCACGUGUGACUCAUUGAGAGUACCCGACGAAAAAGCAUCGGCUAACUCCGUGCCAGCAGCCGCGGUAAUACGGAGGAUGCGAGCGUUAUCCGGAUUUAUUGGGUUUAAAGGGUGCGCAGGCGGAGGUGCAAGUCAGCGGUCAAAUUGCGGGGCUCAACCCCGUACUGCCGUUGAAACUGCAGCCCUUGAGUGCGCGAGAAGUAUGCGGAAUGCGUGGUGUAGCGGUGAAAUGCAUAGAUAUCACGCAGAACUCCGAUUGCGAAGGCAGCAUACCGGCGCGCAACUGACGCUCAUGCACGAAAGCGUGGGUAUCGAACAGGAUUAGAUACCCCAGUAGUC
This 459-nucleotide ribosomal RNA is filed under the name uncultured bacterium. Its description in RNAcentral is "partial 16S ribosomal RNA". It matches the Rfam family "Bacterial small subunit ribosomal RNA", at positions 338 to 795 of the family's 1533-position model. The record is from RNAcentral.